GCGCUCACUUUGGCAGCACAAUACUAAAAUUGGAACAAUACAGAAAAGAUUUGCAUGCCCCUCACCCCAGGCAAGGAUGAUACGCAAAUGCGUGAAGAUUUCCAUAUUUUU
This 111-nucleotide small nuclear RNA is filed under the name Peromyscus maniculatus bairdii (prairie deer mouse). The record is from RNAcentral. Lineage: Eukaryota; Metazoa; Chordata; Mammalia; Rodentia; Cricetidae.